Molecule: ribosomal RNA, 388 nt
Filed under: uncultured bacterium
Lineage: Bacteria
Description: bacterial SSU rRNA
Rfam family: Bacterial small subunit ribosomal RNA
Source: RNAcentral
GACGAACGCUGGCGGCGUGCUUAACACAUGCAAGUCGAGCGGUAAGGCCCUUUCGGGGGUACACGAGCGGCGAACGGAUGAGUAACACGUGGGUGACCUGCCCUCAGCUCUGGGAUAAGCCUGGGAAACCGGGUCUAAUACCGGAUAUGACUCCAUGACGCAUGUUGUGGGGUGGAAAGCCUUGUGCGGCUGAGGAUGGGCCCGCGGCCUAUCAGCUUGUUGGUGGGGUGANGGCCUACCAAGGCGACGACGGGUAGCCGGCCUGAGAGGGCGACCGGCCACACUGGGACUGAGACACGGCCCAGACUCCUACGGGAGGCAGCAGUGGGGAAUCUUGCGCAAUGGGCGAAAGCCUGACGCAGCGACGCCGCGUGAGGGAUGACGGCCU